Cannabis sativa is the source of this 2365-nucleotide long non-coding RNA. RefSeq lists it as uncharacterized. The transcript has 2 exons. The record is from RefSeq and is a predicted model, not a curated record. Lineage: Eukaryota; Viridiplantae; Streptophyta; Magnoliopsida; Rosales; Cannabaceae.
UUGUCAUUGAAAAUUGCAAGACCGAGUCGAUGUUAGCUGAUCCUCUAACCAAAGGGUUAAGUGCCGUGCUGUUUAAUAAACAUGUUGUUAAUAUGGGCAUUUUAGAAUCUUUUGAUCUUUUGGGUUAGUGGGAGUUUUGUUUUCUGUUUGUUUUUAGAAAUUAUUAUUUAUAAUUUUCUGAAUAAAGUUAUGAACUACAUUUUAUGUUUCAAUAUUUUUUAUUAUUGAAUGGAUAUGUUUUCAAUUAUGUUUUGUUAUAUUCUCGAGAAUGAUUGAAUUGAAAGCAUGUGGUUCAUAUUGUUGUGAUCAUUGUCUUUUAAAUUUAUUUGCUUAUUGACAAUGAUAUGUUGUUGGCUUAAUUCUUUAAGCAAGUUUAGUGACACUUACUUAUUUUAAGUGGUGUAUGUUUAAUUUCACUGGCUUAUUUAUUAAGCAUCACGGUAUCAGUGAAAUUGAGGACUGAUAAGGAUAUUAUGUUAUUUUAAAUUGAUCACAUGUUGAACAUAAUUCCUUACCACACUACUAGACUUAUUGACCAUGUCGAUUUAAUACUUUGGUAUUUGUGAUUAUGAAUGUCUUUUGUUGAGCUAAAAACAAUAUGACUGUCAUAGUUCAUUAUCAAAGGUUAAAUUGGACCGGUAUGUUGAGAUGCUAUCAGAGAACUAUCAGUUUUAAAGUGGCCACAAAUGUUUUCUUGUUGUUCAACCCAUGAGUCGUUUUCAAACAAAAUUAUUUUGAUAUAUAAUAUAUAUGUAUUAAAAUCAAUGUAGCCCAAGUGGGAGAAUGUUAGACUUUUAUUUGGGCUUACAUUAUAUUUUAUUGGUUUUAUUAAAACUUGGGUUGAUUGGAUAGUUCUUUGCUGUGUUAGCCCAUGUUGUUGGUGAUCAAUUGUUAAUGGGCUUAGCAUCUGUGAGUAAAGUCUAGGUGAAGCAGAAGUGUGGGCUUUUCUAGUUGACUGAAGCCUUUGAUUAGCAGGCCCACCCCAACUAGGGUUUUGUAGCUAAGUCCCCUCCCUAACUCUAUAAAUACAUAUUGUCUCAUCACAAUUGAAUACCUUUUGAUAAUCAGAGAAAAUAAACUGCUUCUGAUUUAGAGAUAUAGGGAGGAAGACUUAGUUGAUAGUAUUGCACUAUCAAAUUGGAGUAACUGCUGUGGAUCAAUCAGAGAUAAUUGCUAUGGAUCAAUCAGAGAUAAUGAAUAUUGAUGCAAACGAAGUGGAAGAAAAUAUUAAAAAUCAAGAGAAUAAAGAUCAAGAAGCUACAAUCGACCAUGCCAUAAAAAUUAAAUAGAUUCAUUCUAACAUUCCUGAUGAAGAGAUACCAAAGGUUAGUAUGAAAUUUGAAACCGAAGAACAAGCUUACAAUUUUUAUAAUGUUUAUGCUUAUAAAGUUGGUUUUAGCAUUCGAAGAAGCAAAAGUCAUAAGGAUAAUGAAGAUGGAAAAAUUAAAAAAAAAAAUAGAACAUUUUGUUGCUCAUGUGAAGGCUUUCGCGAAAAAGAUAGACGAUAUGAUAAUGUAAAAUGUCAUCGUGCUGCAACAAGGUUUGGUUGUUUGGCGAGGAUGAAGAUAAAACUUCAUCAAUUCGGAAAAUAUCACGUUGUUGAAUUCAUACACAUGUGACUUCAAGCCCUAGUAAGAGUCAUACAUAGGUCUCAAAGAAGAAUAACUCCUGCUCAAGCAUCUGAAAUUGAAUUGCCAGAGAAUUCAGGAAUUGCUCCUAAAGCCAGUAUGGAACUAAUGAUGAGGCGAGCCGGUGGACAUGAAAAUCUUAGAUUUAUUUUGGAAGAUUGUCGGAAUUAUAUACGCACCAAAAGAACAAUUCAAAUGCGCGUAGGAGAUACAGGUGGUGUUCUUGAAUAUCUUCAAAAGAUGAAGUCAAAAGAUUCUAAUUUCUUUUAUGCAAUGCAAGCAGACACAGAUGAUUUAUUAACAAAUAUCACAACUUUGGUGAUGUUGUUAGAUUUGACACAACCUACCGAAAAAAUUAUGAUUGUCAACCUUUUGCUAUGUUUGUUAGGGUAAAUAAUCAUAAACAAACAACUGUAUUUGGGGCUGCAUUGUUAUAUGAUGAAACUGCUGAGACGUUUAUGUGGUUAUUUGAUACUUUUAUAGAAGCAAUGUUUGGAAAAAAACCAAAAACUAUUCUUACCGAUCAAGAUGCAGCAAUGGCAAAAGCAUUAAGAUCCCAAUGGUCAGAAACUUGUCAUCGCUUAUGUAUUUGGCAUAUGUAUCAGAAUGCAGAGUAGUGUUUUUGAAAGAUUUCGUGAGUUUGCAACUGAUUUUGGAAAUUGCAUUUAUGAAUAUGAUGUUGGGUUUUAUGCCCUAAAUAAAACUCAUUUCAAUAUAAUCAGAUUUACUUAUUAAUA